Molecule: ribosomal RNA, 324 nt
Filed under: Massisteria sp.
Lineage: Eukaryota; Cercozoa; Massisteriidae
Also listed under: 2 other names
Description: SSU rRNA
Rfam family: Eukaryotic small subunit ribosomal RNA (bases 104-324)
Source: RNAcentral
GAUUUCUGGUGUGGUGCGCUUGGUCCGCCGCCGUCAGGCGUGUGUGUACCGAUGUGUGCCUACCAUCCUUUCCGGAGAGCCCGGCUGCCCUUCACUGGGUGGGUCGUGUGCCAUCCGGAUCGUUUACUUUGAAAAAAUUAGAGUGUUUAAAGCAGGCUGACGCUUGAAUACAUUAGCAUGGAAUAAUAAGAUAGGACUUUGGUUCUAUUUUGUUGGUUUCUAGGACUGAAGUAAUGAUUGAUAGGGACAGUUGGGGGUGCUAGUAUUUAACGGCCAGAGGUGAAAUUCUUGGAUUCGUUAAAGACUAACUAAUGCGAAAGCAUU